GAGUGGCGAACGGGUGAGUAACACGUGGGAGACCUACCUUCGAAUGGGGGAUAACGUCCCGAAAGGGACGCUAAUACCGCAUAACAUCCUGCUUUUGAACAGGUGGAGAUCAAAGCCGGGGAUCGCAAGACCUGGCGUUUGAAGAGGGGCCCGCGUCUGAUUAGCUAGUUGGGGAGGUAACGGCCCACCAAGGCGACGAUCAGUAUCCGGCCUGAGAGGGCGGACGGACACACUGGGACUGAGACACGGCCCAGACUCCUACGGGAGGCAGCAGUGGGGAAUUGUUCGCAAUGGGCGCAAGCCUGACGACGCAGCGCCGCGUGGAGGAUGAAGGUCUUCGGAUUGUAAACUCCUGUUGCCCGGGACGAAAAGCUUCAACCUAAUACGUUGAAGUCUGACGGUACCGGGUGAGGAAGCCCCGGCUAACUCUGUGCCAGCAGCCGCGGUAAUACAGAGGGGGCAAGCGUUGUUCGGAAUUACUGGGCGUAAAGGGCGCGUAGGCGGCCCGCUAAGUCGAACGUGAAAUCCCCGGGCUCAACCCGGGAACUGCGUCCGAUACUGGCAGGCUUGAAUUCGGGAGAGGGAUGCGGAAUUCCAGGUGUAGCGGUGAAAUGCUUAGAUAUCUGGAGGA
RNAcentral lists this ribosomal RNA (631 nucleotides) under uncultured Acidobacteriota bacterium. Its description in RNAcentral is "bacterial SSU rRNA". It matches the Rfam family "Bacterial small subunit ribosomal RNA", at positions 93 to 705 of the family's 1533-position model. The record is from RNAcentral. Lineage: Bacteria; Pseudomonadati; Acidobacteriota.